This 358-nucleotide RNase P RNA is filed under the name Enterobacteriaceae endosymbiont of Donacia proxima. Its description in RNAcentral is "RNase P RNA component class A". It matches the Rfam family "Bacterial RNase P class A". From Rfam's summary of the family: Ribonuclease P (RNase P) is a ubiquitous endoribonuclease, found in archaea, bacteria and eukarya as well as chloroplasts and mitochondria. Its best characterised activity is the generation of mature 5'-ends of tRNAs by cleaving the 5'-leader elements of precursor-tRNAs. The record is from RNAcentral. Lineage: Bacteria; Pseudomonadati; Pseudomonadota; Gammaproteobacteria; Enterobacterales; Enterobacteriaceae.
AAAGUUAAUAAAAAACAGUCGCUUUUAUCACAAAAAAUAAAAGAGGAAAGUCCGGACUCCGCAGGGUAUGGUGCCAGAUAAUUACUGGGAAGUGUAAACUUACGAAUAGUGCAACAGAAAAAAUACCGCCAUAGUAUAAAAAAAAUAAAAUGUGGUAAGGGUGAAAAGGUAUGGUAAAAGCAUACCGAUAUAUUAGUAAUAAUAUAUGUCGAUGUAAACUCCACCAGGAGCAAGGCUAAAUAUAAGUUUGUAUAACCCGUACUAUAAACUUGGGUAAGCUGCUUGAAAUAAUAAGUAAUUAUUAUUCUAGAUAAAUGACUGUUCUAGACAGAAUCCGGCUUAAAAAAUAACUUUAUAA